UACGUAGGGUGCAAGCGUUGUUCGGCAUUACUGGGCGUAAAGCGCGUGUAGGCGGCCAAACGGGUCAGGUGUGAAAGCCCUCGGCUUAACCGGGGCAGUGCGCCUGAAACUAUUUGGCUAGAGUGCAGGAGAGGAGGACGGAAUUCCCAGUGUAGAGGUGAAAUUCGUAGAUAUUGGGAGGAACACCGGUGGCGAAAGCGGUUCUCUGGACUGCAACUGACGCUGAGACGCGAAAGCGUGGGGAUCAAACAGG
RNAcentral lists this ribosomal RNA (253 nucleotides) under uncultured bacterium. RNAcentral describes it as "partial 16S ribosomal RNA". It matches the Rfam family "Bacterial small subunit ribosomal RNA", at positions 524 to 776 of the family's 1533-position model. The record is from RNAcentral.